MicroRNA precursor from Gadus morhua (Atlantic cod), 56 nucleotides. The record is from Ensembl. Lineage: Eukaryota; Metazoa; Chordata; Actinopteri; Gadiformes; Gadidae.
UCCCUGAGACCCUUAACCUGUGAGGUUAAAGGUCACAGGUUAGGUCCUCGGGAACA